RNAcentral lists this long non-coding RNA (380 nucleotides) under Mytilus galloprovincialis (Mediterranean mussel). The record is from RNAcentral. Lineage: Eukaryota; Metazoa; Mollusca; Bivalvia; Mytilida; Mytilidae.
AACAAUAAAUAUAUCAAAACUAAAAGAUUACAUGUGUAAGCAAUGCAAGGUGUCAACUCUUCCAACUUAAGUUUCAACCUUCAAAUAUUUUCUUACUUUUUGUGAAUUGCUGAGUGAUGAAUCUGAAAAUGCAUCAUAUGGUUAUAAACCCUGAAACCAAAUUUCCGAAAUCCUUGUAAUGCAGUUCCUGAGAAAAAUGUGACAAAAAUUUUAAACUUGGCUAUCAUGUGUAAAAUGAUACAAGUGUUCGGUAAACAGGAAGUUGUUGAGUGAUGAAUCUGAAAACGCAUCACACAGUAUAACUGACUUAUAUAAACCCUGAAACCAAAUUUCAGAAAUCCUUGUCAAGCAGUUCCUGAGUAAAAUGUGACAAAAAAUUU